Long non-coding RNA from Tigriopus californicus, 1018 nucleotides. RefSeq lists it as uncharacterized. The transcript is spliced from 2 exons. Lineage: Eukaryota; Metazoa; Arthropoda; Copepoda; Harpacticoida; Harpacticidae. The record is from RefSeq and is a predicted model, not a curated record.
ACGAACCAAUUAUUGGUCAUUCUCAUUCUCUCAAAUUUGGUCAGAGUGGGAAAAAAGGUCGAGUCUUCAUGACCAAAGUAAAAAAAAAGGGUUGGAGUCUCUUUUUUCUCCUUCCUCGAGUUUCUGGAAUGACCAGUAACAUUCAGGGUGUCAUUUUCCCCAGGCACAGAAAGCAAGUCAGAACAAGUCUGAGCUAGCGAGAGAGAGAGAGAAAGUGAUACUUGCUGCCACUUUCCAGCUCGAAUAAGAUGUUGAGUGUCAUCUUCUCACUUUGCAACUCCUCCAUCCACCACAAAGCAUCAUCCUCAGGACUCACACUCUUGUACGGGCUCUGUCUAUGCCUGUCUAUCGGCAAGUGGUCUUCACUCGAUACCCUGGACGAAACUCGUUUGAAUGGAAAGAAGGAUGGAAUAGCCAACGAACCAGGGGUGGGUGCAUCCUCAACAAUAAGACGAGUGAGUGGAUGAUGGCACAUCUGUUGCGGUGAAAGUUCCUGUCCUACUGUUGGAAGCCCGCUAAUCUGGCAUCAAAUUGAAUCGAAACUAUUCGGUGAUGUGUGAUCGUCCUUCGAGAUUCGAAGGAAGACACCGCAUAAUCAUCUAUUACUUGGAACUCUCAAGGGAAGAGAUUUAAAAGUCAAGGCGAUUUUCUUGGAGGAAGCACCUCCAGACUAAAGCGAGGAUCGCGGACGACUUUGUUCUUUGAAAUGGCUUCUCACCAGCGACUUUAGAUCCUCUUUGUGGGGUUUAUCUGCGCUUUGAUCUCCCAACUUCCAACCCUUUUCCAAGCUAACUGUUUAUCGCAGCCAAUCAGUUCAUCCCAUGCGCUCUUGCCAUAAUAUCUUACCUUCAUGGGUCUGGAUUUGGAUCGGAUGGAGGAUUUUUCUGUCUUGACAUUGGCUCCCAAGACAAUGAAAUUGCAUGGGGACACUGGACGAUGGACAUCGAUCUCGGAGUCGUCCGAGUCGCUAUCAAUAUCACAGUCUGUUGACUCGGUUCCGUGAUUCCCACUAUACGGG